This is a long non-coding RNA of Mustela lutreola (European mink), 2042 nucleotides long. RefSeq lists it as uncharacterized. Lineage: Eukaryota; Metazoa; Chordata; Mammalia; Carnivora; Mustelidae. The record is from RefSeq and is a predicted model, not a curated record. The transcript is spliced from 6 exons.
AGCUGAGCCAAAUCUAGCCAUUAGACCAGAGAGACAGAGCCAUUUAGGUCUCCAAGGAGAGAACACAAUUUCUGUUUCCCCUAAGGAUGGCAGCAGAAUGGUGAUUCAUUCUCUCAUUUCUCUGUUAGGAACCUGGUUUACUAAUACGAAAACACAGAGCAGUAGUCAAGCCCACAGCAACUCUGCUCCUGCUGGAUCAGCCCCUUCAGCUUCUCCAUGUCCUAGGCCAGAUGGGUGCACAGCUCCGUGGUGAAGAGUGCCAACUCCUUCUGCAGGUCAUCUGUGUCAUCGAGGUUGGAGGUGGCUGAAUUGGUUCUAAAAGGAGGGAAGCCAAAGAGAAGCCACAUCUGUCUCUUACUACUGGAUCCCAGGCGCAUAAUGGGCACUCAGAGAGGAGCUUUUAGAUCUUCAACCAGACAUCUGCCAGAAGUACCUUUAACAUGCAAACUAGCCAAGGGAGUUUGCCUGCUUCUAGUCACCAUCAAAGCAGAGAACCUGAAGAAAGAUUACGCACAUCCUCCUGGCACUGCCCCUGAGCUAUCCCUAAUGAAGAGGCAGGAAAACCAGUUGCUUGAAGCCAAAUGACUUUACUCCCCAAAUGAGGAGGGAUACCCUCAUCCACUUCACCACAAAGCUUGGAGAAAUUCUAUACUUCAAGGGCCCCAGCUGAAGAAGUAGCAGAGUUCACGGGGGGUGGUAGUGUGGAGCCAGAGUGUGAGGGUGUGGGGGACAAAAGCUGGUAUGUGGGAAAAAGAAAGCAUGGAGGAGAAAGGCCUCCUUCUUAAAAGCCUUGGUCUGGAUGUGGCAUACAUCACUUGCAUUGCCACUUCACAGUGAGAAUGAGAUGUGUCUCUACUGUUAAAUUAAUUAAACAAGGAGGCAGUUAGAUUGUGGUGGUUCUAAUACUUGAACAGCUUACAUACAUACCCCAGAAUCUAAGCCUGUAAACUCUUCAAGGUUAAGAGAAAAAAACCUAAGCACAACAAAUCACAGAAACAGCUAACAAGGCUUUUCCAAAGAAGGAGAAUGCUUUAGCUUUAGCAAAUCAAAUAAUACCCUUGCUUUGCUUCCACCUUUUCUCUCUAAAAGUCUUUCCUCUCACUCUUGUGGGUGGAGUGCUCCUAACCACUCUGUUUUUGGCACUGCCCUUUUGGAAUAUAUUUUUACUCAAAUAAACUUAAAAGUUUCAAAAAUUUGCCCUAGUUUAUCUUUCAACACUACCUAACGGCCAAAGGAGAGAGAGAUGGUUUUUCCCUGGGUGGGUAGCUGCUUCCUAGUUACAAUUUUAUAUCUUGAAAUGAAAGAAUGGAUUUUGGUGGGCAGUCUCUGCCCCAUCAAGAUCCUCCCAGAAGUACUUGUUUGGCCUGGGGUUGGGAUGGAGAGGAUAAUCUGUAGAACUCUGGUAUUCUGAACUGGAUGAUGAGGUAAGCCAGUAACAUUUAGGUUAACAAGACCAGCUAUUCUAAAUGUGAAAGUGGUAUUUCCCCCCCUUCCUUGAAAUUAUCUGCCUAUGUGAAAUUACUGAAUAAUUUAGAAAGAACCUUUUCUCUUGCCUAACUACUUAGAUUUGGAAUGGCCAUUACACUGAAUUUCUUUUAUGAUUUAACAUACACCUGUAUCAACAGUCUAAAAUGUUCAUCAUCAUUAGCCAUCAGAGAAAUUCAAAUCAAAACCAUAUUGAGAUACCACCUUACACCAGUUAGAAUGGCCAAAAUUAGUAAGACAGUAAACAACAAGUGUUGGAGAGGAUGUGGAGAAAGGGGAACCCUCUUAAACCGCUGGUGGGAAUGCAAGUUGGUGCAGCCACUUUGGAAAACAGUAUGGAGAUUUCUCAAAAAAUUAAAAAUAGAGCUACCCUAUGACCCUGCCAUUGCACUACGGGGUAUUUACUCCAAGAUACAGAUGUAGUGAAAAGAAGGGCCAGAUGAACCCCAACGUUCAUAGCAGCAAUGGCCACAAUUGCCAAACUGUGGAAAGAGCAAAGAUGCCCUUCAACAGAUGAAUGGAUAAAGAAGCUAUGGUUCAUAUAUACAAUGGAAUAU